AACGAACGCUGGCGGCAUGCCUAACACAUGCAAGCCGAACGAGACCUUCGGGUCUAGUGGCGCACGGGUGCGUAACGCGUGGGAACCUGCCCUUAGGUUCGGAAUAACUCCCCGAAAGGGGUGCUAAUACCGGAUAAUGUCUUCGGACCAAAGUUUUAUCGCCUUUGGAUGGGCCCGCGUUGGAUUAGCUAGUUGGUAGGGUAAAAGCCUACCAAGGCGACGUUCCAUAGCUGGUCUGAGAGGAUGAUCAGCCACACUGGGACUGAGACACGGCCCAGACUCCUACGGGAGGCAGCAGUGGGGAAUAUUGGACAAUGGGCGAAAGCCUGAUCCAGCAAUGCCGCGUGAGUGAUGAAGGCCUUAGGGUUGUAAAGCUCUUUUACCCGGGAUGAUAAUGACAGUACCGGGAGAAUAAGCUCCGGCUAACUCCGUG
Molecule: ribosomal RNA, 433 nt
Filed under: uncultured bacterium
Lineage: Bacteria
Description: partial 16S ribosomal RNA
Rfam family: Bacterial small subunit ribosomal RNA
Source: RNAcentral